Cyprinus carpio carpio is the source of this 2249-nucleotide long non-coding RNA. The record is from Ensembl. Lineage: Eukaryota; Metazoa; Chordata; Actinopteri; Cypriniformes; Cyprinidae.
ACAUUACAAAUGUUGUAUGCAUGCUGCAAUUUAUGCUAUCGUGAAUAUCAAAGGAGAAAAGACCAAAUAUGAGUGAGAUGUCUGUACAAAUUCAAAUGUUUUCAGUUCCAACAGUGAUUAUCAAUUAAUUUAAUGUUAUGACGAAACUGGCAAAUCAGAAAUGCAGAAUUCAAUUCUAUUAAUUAAUUAAUUAAUUAAUUAAUAUAAAAAAAUAAGAAUUGUCCCUUUAAUGACUUCAUUAAGGCAUUACCAACAUGCUGCAUGAUGUUGCCUUUGAUUGAUCUAAACCCAAAUACUGAGAGGUAUCUGAUAGUCAGUCAAAAUAUAUACUCACAAAGCAAAGCCAAAGACGCUCUCGUGGUGUGGCUCUUAAAAGAGCCUUUGGGGUGUAUGUAGCUGCUGUUGACAAAAGAGGGAAAAGGGAGAAAGGACCAAAUAUGAGUAAAAUAUGUCUGUACAAAUUCAAAUGUUUUCAGUUCCAUCAGUGAUUAUUGAUUAAUAAAUAUGUUAUGACGAAACUGGCAAAUCAGAGAUGCAGAAUUCCAUUCUAGUCUAUUAAUUAAUUUAUUUAAAGAAGUAUCCUUUUAAUGUCUUCAUUAAGAUUAUAACUUGCCACAUUAAGUUGCUUUAAUUGAUAUAUUGAUCAGUUAGCAUGUUAUGAUGAAUCUGGCAAAUCAGUAGGUUGACUUACAACAAUCAGAUGGCAAUCAACACUGAGAAAAAAGAGAGAGAAGAGAAUAAAUUAUUUGCAUGGUAUAAAUUCUCAAAGUUUCUCAAAGGCUCUGAUGAAUACAUAAUCCACAUUAAGAUGCAUUUAGAAUAAUAACAACAAUACUACUACUACUACUACUAAUAAUAAUAAUGAUAACUAUUAUUGUUAUUAUUGUUAUAGUUGAACAAAAUGAGAGAUGAUCUAUUUCAUUAUAGAGGGUUUAUGAGUCUCUCUCUCUCUCUUUCGCUCUCGGUGCCAGCGUGUGUGAGAGAGAGAGUGAGAGGGAGCUCACGCGCUCGCAGUCAAACCUGUGACAACGCAAUAUUUUCCAUACAAAUUAAAGAUAUUAUGAAGCAUAGUUGUAUAACUUAUCUAUUUUCAAUGAACGUUAUCAUGACAGAUAACUCAAACGAAAGAGCGUCUCUCAAACGGAGCGUAUUGGCUCCAUUAGCAAUGACGUCGACACACCGAUGUAACCAACGUCUUCUCACUGACGUCACUCACUUCUAAAACUUGUCUGCCGCCAUCUUGAGUUACCUCAGGACGAAAAAAGACGCCAUCAACAGGGCAGACUGGACACCAACAGCAAACACUCGUCUGUGCAGUGCUCAUUUUUUCUGUGGUUUGAGAGUCCCACUUUGUUAAAUAUAAUUGAGCAACCAUAGGUGGCGAUAAGCACGCGAGCAGGCAUUGAGGCAAUGGAUGAAGAUGAGCCAGCUAGCUGCGCUGAACGCGAUCAUUGUUGAUGGUUGAGAGUGAGAUGUGCUUUGGAAAACCAUCAUUCUCUUCAAUGGCUUCACAAAAUUCCGACUGAAAAUUUACUGAACAAAGAGUGAAGUAGCAAAGGUAAGGUUUUAAACUUCAGUUCAGUGAUACUGAACAAUAACUCUUCUGUGGUGUACGAGGAGAGGAUGUACAAACUGCAAGUAAUGAUGGCGAGCCAACCCAGACUGUGGCUUUCAUCUUUGUUUCAAGUGUUCCUGCAAAGGCGACCUGUUACACAGCGGAUUCUCUGUAAACUGAUACCAAACAGUUGGAGUAUCCGGGAUCUGUUUUUAACUGAACAAGGCAUCGAUUUCUUCCAUUCUUCUACCAAUUUUUUUUUUCUGAACUGGAAAUCUUUUUUCUUCAACAUCUUCCUGAACUGAAUUGAAUUGUAUUCCACGACAAGAACAGAAAUUAAAUGGAAUUUAAGUACCACACAUUAUAAUUGUAUUUUCAUUUCAUGUACAGCAUAAAUUUUGUGUAUUGCUUGUCUGUCUAACAGUAAAGUGCUGACUGACGUCGGAAGUGCUGAGAACACACAUUAUAACUUCCUUCAACUGUCGGUCAUAGCGGGCUUGUGGGCAUCUUCUGAAAAAAAAAAAAUCUUAGAGAAAUGUUGCAAAAAAGUAUCCCAUAUAAUUUCAUUCUAGAAAGGCAUUUAUAUAAUAUAAUUGUAUGUAGUCUUACAAUUGAUUCCACUUAUGUUACAGUUAUCAGGUGAUGGAUUCAGCACUGUAAAAUUGCCAAGAAGUAUCUGCAAAUAAAUAUUAAG